Bombus pascuorum is the source of this 71-nucleotide small nucleolar RNA. The record is from RefSeq and is a predicted model, not a curated record. Lineage: Eukaryota; Metazoa; Arthropoda; Insecta; Hymenoptera; Apidae.
UGUUAAAUGAUGUAAAUUUAUAAUCUUGACGAACAGUGGAAGUAAAAAAGCUGAUUUAAUGAGACUGAUAC